AUUGAACGCUGGCGGCAGGCCUAACACAUGCAAGUCGAACGGUAACAGGAAGCAGCUUGCUGCUUUGCUGACGAGUGGCGGACGGGUGAGUAAUGUCUGGGAAACUGCCUGAUGGAGGGGGAUAACUACUGGAAACGGUAGCUAAUACCGCAUAACGUCGCAAGACCAAAGAGGGGGACCUUCGGGCCUCUUGCCAUCGGAUGUGCCCAGAUGGGAUUAGCUAGUAGGUGGGGUAACGGCUCACCUAGGCGACGAUCCCUAGCUGGUCUGAGAGGAUGACCAGCCACACUGGAACUGAGACACGGACCAGACUCCUACGGGAGGCAGCAGUGGGGAAUAUUGCACAAUGGGCGCAAGCCUGAUGCAGCCAUGCCGCGUGUAUGAAGAAGGCCUUCGGGUUGUAAAGUACUUUCAGCGGGGAGGAAGGGAGUAAAGUUAAUACCUUUGCUCAUUGACGUUACCCGCAGAAGAAGCACCGGCUAACUCCGUG
This 490-nucleotide ribosomal RNA is filed under the name uncultured bacterium. Its description in RNAcentral is "partial 16S ribosomal RNA". It matches the Rfam family "Bacterial small subunit ribosomal RNA", at positions 30 to 507 of the family's 1533-position model. The record is from RNAcentral.